Molecule: long non-coding RNA, 904 nt
Organism: Athene cunicularia (burrowing owl)
Lineage: Eukaryota; Metazoa; Chordata; Aves; Strigiformes; Strigidae
Exons: 3
Source: RefSeq, a predicted model, not a curated record
CUCCCGGGGUCUGAGUGCGCGGUGGGGCGGCGGAGGGUCCGGCCCGGCCCUCCCCGCUUCGGGCUCCGCGGGUCUUCACGUCGUGGCUCUGCUUGGAAGCGGCGCCUCGGCUCCGGCCGCUGGGUGGGGGCUGGGGGAGUAAUUUUCUGGCGAAACUCUUGUUAAACAGUGCUCGAACGUUGCUCGAUAGCAGCAGCCCGAGGUCCCUGCUGGGGCGGUGUCUGAGAGACCCCCGGUAGGAGCGAAGUGGGGAGGAACAGCGCAGUUCUAGAUUGGAAGUGGAAUUUGGAUUAGGAAACGUGUUUCCUGGAAGGGUGAAAACUGCUUGUUGUUCGCCGUGCGAUUGGCACGACACCCUUUUAAUACACCGCGUCGAGGGGGGGAAAAAUAAUCCCUUGAAUUUAAUCCUUUGUUUCACACAUUUCAGCCAAACCACGGCCGGAUUCCCGGAGGUGUUCUCUCUGGCUGGAUCCAGUGGAUCGCAGUUAAUAUGGCCUCCCCUCCUCUGCUGCCGUCUAUAGAGGCAGCAAUUACUGCUCUGGUGCUUGGAGAGAUUUAAAAACAAAAGCGUUUGCCUGUUGCCAGGGCCGAAGGGGUCCUGAACUCUGAAGCUUUGUAUUUUUAUGAACUGCCGUAUUUCCAAAGCUGGGAGGUUUAUCGUUGUGUAUGUCUUCACACACACAUGACAGAUGGACCCAAUGCCACCAGCUUUUCGUCCAUGGCCUCAUUGUCAACUGCUGUAAAACCUCUUCCUUCUGCAGGGCUCACCAUGCUGCAGAUUCUCCUUUUUUAUUAUUAUUAAUUUUUAAAAAUUUUUUUAACAAAAUGCCAUUUGUGACACGAGACUAACCAGGAUAUUCUGACCAGCUGUGUAAGUAUAUCCUCAGAAAAUAAAGCUAAUGAA